AACGAAUUGUACUUGGAGUUGAUGCUGGCAGGCUUGGCUGCAUGUGCUCGCUCCUAACAAUCUUCAUCCAAACACCUGUGCACAUUUAGAGAGGGUCUCCGAGUCCUCCUUGGAGUCCCUUCCUCUCAUUACACACUUUAUUUCAAUGUUGAACGUGAUUGCGCCCUAAGGCCUUAAUAUUAAUACAACUUUUAACAACGGAUCUCUUAACUCUCGCAUCGAUGAAGAACGCAGCGAAAUGCGAUAAGUAAUGUGAAUUGCAGAAUUCAGUGAAUCAUCAAAUUUUUGAACGCACCUUGCGCUCCCUGGUAUUCCGGGGAGCACGCCUGUUCGAGUGUUGUGAAAUUCUCAAACCGGGAUGCUUUUUUUGUUUCUCGGCUUGGUGUUGGGCUUUGCAGUUCCUUUGAUUGGGAUGGCUGGCCUUAAAAGCAUUAGCUGGGUUUGCAGGUGGCAUUGGUUCUACUCAGCGUGAUAAUGAUCUGACCGCCGAGGACAUCUUUCGAGGUGGCCAAUUCUCAUUUGGGCUGCUUCUAAUUUUGGUAGAGCAGAUUCUGAAUCUGUUCCACUUUUCAGCUUUUGACCUCGAAUCAGGUGGGACUACCCGCUGAACUUAAGCAUAU
Molecule: ribosomal RNA, 620 nt
Filed under: uncultured Clavulinaceae
Lineage: Eukaryota; Fungi; Basidiomycota; Agaricomycetes; Cantharellales; Hydnaceae
Description: eukaryotic LSU rRNA
Rfam family: 5.8S ribosomal RNA (bases 187-340)
Source: RNAcentral